Capra hircus (goat) is the source of this 108-nucleotide ribosomal RNA. Lineage: Eukaryota; Metazoa; Chordata; Mammalia; Artiodactyla; Bovidae. The record is from Ensembl.
GGCUAAACCCCCCUGAACGCACCCCAUCUUGUCUGAUCUUGGAAUCUAAGCAGGCUUGGACCUGGUUAGUACUGGGAUGAAGAAUUAAUACCUAACCUAAUGGCAGCU